ACGCUCGACACCUACGGGAGGCUGCAGUGGGGAAUAUUGCGCAAUGGGGGAAACCCUGAUGCAGCGACGCCGCGUGAGCGAAGAAGUAUUUCGGUAUGUAAAGCUCUAUCAGCAGGGAAGAAAAUGACGGUACCUGACUAAGAAGCCCCGGCUAACUACGUGCCAACAGCCGCGGUAAUCUGAGCGGGCUGGCAAGGC
Molecule: ribosomal RNA, 198 nt
Filed under: uncultured bacterium
Lineage: Bacteria
Description: partial 16S ribosomal RNA
Rfam family: Bacterial small subunit ribosomal RNA
Source: RNAcentral